This 226-nucleotide unclassified non-coding RNA is filed under the name Hevea brasiliensis (rubber tree). The record is from RNAcentral. Lineage: Eukaryota; Viridiplantae; Streptophyta; Magnoliopsida; Malpighiales; Euphorbiaceae.
AAAGCAGGAAAAUGGUAAAUGGUUUGGAUACAAAAUUUUAUAAAUUUUGACAAAUUACAAUUUAAAGAACCAAUUUAUAAUCUUUCAACUACAAGUUUCUGAAUUCGGAGAUUGAUUUAUUGAAAUGUACAAAAAUUCUUUCUUUCUUUUUUUUUUUUUCAAAAAGAAGGAACAUAUCGCCCAUCAAACUCUAAUCCUUUUCUUUCAUUUGUACACAGAACUAUCC